Molecule: ribosomal RNA, 520 nt
Filed under: uncultured Glomus
Lineage: Eukaryota; Fungi; Glomeromycota; Glomeromycetes; Glomerales; Glomeraceae
Description: SSU rRNA
Rfam family: Eukaryotic small subunit ribosomal RNA
Source: RNAcentral
AGCAGCCGCGGUAAUUCCAGCUCCAAUAGCGUAUAUUAAAGUUGUUGCAGUUAAAAAGCUCGUAGUUGAAUUUCGGGAUUAAUUUAUUGGUCGUGCUAUUGUACGUACUGGUAUUAUUGAUUCCUACCUUCUGACGAACCAUGAUGUCAUUAAUUUGGUGUCAUGGGGAAUCAGGACUGUUACUUUGAAAAAAUUAGAGUGUUUAAAGCAGGCUCACGCUUGAAUACAUUAGCAUGGAAUAACGAAAUAGGACGUUUGAUUCUAUUUUGUUGGUUUCUAGGAUCGACGUAAUGAUUAAUAGGGAUAGUUGGGGGCAUUAGUAUUCAAUUGUCAGAGGUGAAAUUCUUGGAUUUAUUGAAGACUAACUACUGCGAAAGCAUUUGCCAAGGAUGUUUUCAUUAAUCAAGAACGAAAGUUAGGGGAUCGAAGACGAUCAGAUACCGUCGUAGUCUUAACCAUAAACUAUGCCGACUAGGGAUCGGAUGAUGUUAAUUUUUAAUGACUCAUUCGGCGCCUUAAC